Molecule: long non-coding RNA, 4659 nt
Organism: Ictalurus punctatus (channel catfish)
Lineage: Eukaryota; Metazoa; Chordata; Actinopteri; Siluriformes; Ictaluridae
Source: Ensembl
CAAUAAUACGAUAUUACAGUGUUAUAACGUGCAUUAAUGGAUUAUUAUGAUUUAUAUAUUUAUAUAGUGGGUUUUAGUGAAUACACGUAAAUACAAAUAAAAAUAAUUCUUCACACAAGUUCAACACAAAAGGUUCCUGGAAAAGGUUUAAUAAAGUAAAGUGAAUGUAAUCAGUAUGUUUGGUGUAAUGUCAGAUCUUUGUGUGGAUUAGAUCAGAAGUGAUAAAGACUCAAACGUGUUCAGCGGUGUUCCUGUAUUAUUAUUAUUAUUAUUAUUAUUAUUAUUAUUAUUAUUACUGCACGUUGAUACAGUUUCUUCACACACUUCCAGCCUGUUCCUCUGUUUAACACACACACACAUACACACACAUACACAAACAAACACAAACAUACACAUACACAAACAUAUAUAUACACAUACACACACACUCACACAUACACAAACACACACACACACAUAUACACACACACAUACACAAACAUAUAUAUACACAUACACUCACCCACAUACACAAACAUACACACACACACACACACACACACACAUAUACACACACACAUACACAAAGAUAUAUACACACACAUACACAAACACGCGCACACACACAAGGUUCACGGUAAAGGUUUAGACCCUACACAAAUAAUAAUAAUAAUAAUAAUAAUAAUAAUAAUAAUAAUAAUAAUAAUAAAACUCCAACAUAAAGUUUUAGUGAAACUCCGGCGGGAAGUUUCUUUCUUUCUUUCUUUCUUUCUUUCUUUCUUCACCUUUUCUUUCUUUUUUCUUUUUUGUCUUUUUGCUCUCAUGACAAAUAAAAAAUGGCGGUCAGUGCACUGUCUUUCCGAAGUUUGUUCUCUCGGUCAAAACUGGAGUCAAAAACAAACAAAAAAAGAACAAACAAAAAUAAUAAUUUAAUUUAAAAAAAACAACAAAAAAACAAAAACAAAACAAAAAAAACGACUAAACACAAACCGCUCGCGCUGUUCCGCGGGUAAAUAAUACUGAUUAUUCUCCGCGCGCAUGAAUGGAGAAGGGGGAAAGAGAGACGGGGGGAAAAUACCGACACACGCACGCACGCACGCACACACACACACACACACACACGCACGCGUGAGUGUGUACAGAAGGAGAAAAUGCGGUGAAUGCGCGCGGAGUGAAGGAGUAAAGGGAAGAAUGAAGAUGGGAUGAAGGGAGGCAGAAGUGGAGGAGUGAAGGGAUGAAGGAGUGGAGGAGUGAAGGGGUGAAGGAGUGAAGGAGUGGAGGAGUGAAGGAGUGGAGGAGUGAAGGAGUGAAGUAGUGGAGGAGUGAAGUAGUGGAGGAGUGAAGUAGUGGAGGAGUGAAGCGGCUCGAACGCGCGUCGGCUCGCAGUCACUUACUUUUCUGUGUCCUGUGACAUGAUGAUGUCUUUUGGACUCCUCGCCGAUAAUUCCUGGAGAAACUGGACUUUCAGGUCGGUGCAGACUCACACACACUCACACACACUCACACACACUCACACACAUACACAGAGGCAGAGAGAGAAAGACAGACAGAGAGAGAGAGACAGGAACACAAACCUGGGCUACAGCCCUGAUUCCAUUGGUCGAGGUGUGUAAGGAGGUCGGGCUGUGAUUGGCUGAGCCAGCACAGGUCCUGAAGGCCAGGAAGUGAAAUCACAGAGAAAUGAUACCAACUGAACGAAAUGUGCUUAACCUCACGGGGAAACAUAACACACGCCGAGGAAAGCGCUAUCUGCCUUCUUCCACACACACCAGCUAACAGAUCAUCACUGUGAUUGACAGGUGAGAGAGAGUAAGCCCCUCCCACCCACAGAGCAGGUCACACCUUUCCCUCUCUCACCUUUUUUGAAGUUGAAGUUAAAGUCACAAGUUCGAAUCCUGAAGAUGUCACAUGGCCGGAAGGCAAGAGACCGAAACCGGCGGUGUUUUCUGGGUGGGAGGGGCUUACUCUCCCACGCCCCUGUCAAUCACAGCGACACGAGCCAAUCACAGGCAUCUGUGAGCUGGAGUAUGAGGAAGAGGACGAGAAGAGGAUACUGUAGACAGUGCCUUCCUGCGAGUUUAGAGUUCUUACUCUGUACUUCAUCGAGUUAAUCCACUCUUUUCGUUUAGAAUUUCACAGAUUUAUGAAUUUAAACGUUCACCUCUUUAAAAAUGUUUUGUUUUUCACGCUUUUAAGAAGGUUCCCUCCCGUUUUAAAGUCUUUUUAGAAGUGAUUUCUGCAGAUUUUUAAUCUCUGAUUAACACGGAACACCCACACCACCACCAUUCCCUCAACUCGUCCAAUCACUCGCCUGCAGUAACCACUUCAUCCUGUAUUCGUAAAUAUUUAUCAUAUGUGCGGCCAAUUUCAAGACAACUACCUCAGCGUACUGUUGCACGGCACAAAUACGCAAUAUUUCUAUACUUUUUUAAAAAUAUUUCCCUUUUUCUAGUCGUAUGGAAGUAAUUGUGGUCUGUGUAAACUGUAUUUUAUGUCACGGACAGUCGUAAAAAGCCGUACUGUGUACGCUUGUGUGCGUGACGGUCGAAGGAUUGAGGUAAAAGUAGAUUUGGGAUCGAGUCGUCAGCGAUCAGCGACGGGCAGCCCUGAGACCCGACACACACGGGGUUUAUCCUGCGCCGCUCGGCGGGAAGCGAGUUUGAUGUGCAGGUGAGCGAGGCUGAAAGGACAGCGUGAUGUCAUGGAGUUGAUUCCGUUGCCGCUUGUGCAACUCGUCGUGAUGUGACUUGCCCUCCACUUAACUGUCAGCGUUAUUUCCCAGAAAUUAGCGAGGGCCGAGUGCCAUUCUCCCACGGUGCUGAGCUGAGAAAGCUUCCACGGAUCAGGCACGGACACGCCGCCAGACCUGACCAGGUAAACCUAACGCCUUCGACACGACACGACCGACACCUCGGGGUUCUACUGAUCCACUCCUGUACCACACACUGGUCUCCUUUCUGAGCUCUCGCUCAUCCCAUGUACGAUCAGACCCGUCACACCUGCUCCGCCCUCCGUUCUCCGUCGGGUUUCAGCCAGGCUCCAUCGGAGAACCCUUUUAAGUUGCACAAGGAACCUUUUACUCUCAAGUUCUUUAGAGAACCUUCUAUUUACUGGUGCUUUAAAGAACCCUGUAAAGAUAUUUCUUCACAGCAGUGCCACAAGCAAACAUGUUAUCAUCGGUUCUCUAACAAAACAAAAAAAACCCUUGGUUAGUGCUUUAAGGAAGCAAAGUAAGGCUCUUAAGAGUGCUGCCUGAGAGGAGAACCUUUUCCAGUCCCACAAAGAACCCUAUAGAGUAUGGUUCAUGUUAAUGUGUUAAGCGAUGAUACCUUGAAGAUCCAAUACACUGCUCUGAAGAUCCUAUAACGAAACAUAACGAACCUCUUUAAUCUCCACGGAGCCGUACAGCUCAGCUCAGGAGCCCUGCAGUGAAAGAUGGUUCCCAUGGUGCUGUAAAGACCCAGAGAAGAGCCUUUAUUUUUAAGAGUGUGAGCUACGUGUGGUGCUAGACAGCUGUUUUAGCUACUUAAUGAAUAUUAACGAACAUUAUCACACACUCGUCGUAAUACGUUAUCGUCGCUAUAGUAACAGUUCAUUCACAGGAACAGCGGUGUACGGCUGCUGUAACGUAAGAGAGAACAGGAACUCACUUUAAAGGUUAAACUUUAAAGGAAAUCUAAUAGGAAAACUGUUUUCUGGUCCGGAAUGCUUGUUUGUGUGUAGGUCCUGGGGGCGGAGCUUUGUGAUCAUGGGCGGGAAUAGGUGGGGGUGUGUGUGGUUUCAAGAAGUUUAAAAAAAAUAUAUUUCAAACAUUUUAACUAAACGGUUAGAGAGCUAAACAUGUGGUAUAAAAUGGACUAAUCUUACCUAGUACACCUUUAAAUGUAACUAUAAACGGAUAAAAAUUACGAUGUGUUGUUCUGUAAUAAACAAAAAGUUGUUUACGGACUGUGUUUUAGGAGUCAGGAUCUGGAGGCUCGGAGUUCAGGACUCGGUCCAGUGUGUGUGUGUGUGUGUGUGUGUGUGUGUGUGUGUGUGUGUGUGUUAGUGCAUUAGAACCCCUGAUCUGCGCUGGACCUUCGGGUCCUCUGCGUAAACACAGCUGCAUUGUGAUCUGGAGGCUGAGGGGCGACACCUUCAGCACCUAAACACACACACCUUUGUUUUCAGGCGUCUGAGACAAAGCACUCGGUCAGUGGAGGAGAUAAUCAGAUUUACUGAGAUCAGAUAAACAUCUCAGUAUCCUGACCUCACACACACACACACACACACACACACACACACACACACACACACACACCUGGUCUGAUCUGUAAUACAAACCUGCGAUAACAUUCAUCAGGCUUUCAUGGCGGUUCUGUCUGAUACACACCAUGUUGUUGAGUCUGAUGUUCAGUCUGAUGCUGAGUCUGAUGUUCAGUCUGAUGUUCAGUCUGAUGCUGAGUCUGAUGUUCAGUCUGAUGUUCAGUCUGAUGCUGAGUCUGAUGUUCAGUCUGAUGCUGAGUCUGAUGUUCAGUCUGAUGUCCAGUCUGAUGUUGACAGAUUGAUGCACAUUGAAAGUUUUUAGGUUAUUGUUCUAAAAAUAAAGAAAACCUUUUCUCUUUAUUAUUUGUUUGUUUGUUUGUUUGUUAUGUCAUCCUGUGUUUACUACAACACUGCGGAGUUUAUCGGAAAUAAAAU